Molecule: ribosomal RNA, 428 nt
Filed under: uncultured bacterium
Lineage: Bacteria
Description: bacterial SSU rRNA
Rfam family: Bacterial small subunit ribosomal RNA
Source: RNAcentral
UGGGGAAUAUUGCGCAAUGGGCGAAAGCCUGACGCAGCGACGCCGCGUGAGGGAUGAAGGUUUUCGGAUCGUAAACCUCUGUCAGAAGGGAAGAAACUACGUUGUGCUAAUCAGCAGCGUACUGACGGUACCUUCAAAGGAAGCACCGGCUAACUCCGUGCCAGCAGCCGCGGUAAUACGGAGGGUGCAAGCGUUAAUCGGAAUUACUGGGCGUAAAGCGCACGUAGGCUGUAGUGUAAGUCAGGGGUGAAAUCCCACGGCUCAACCGUGGAACUGCCUUAGAUACUGCACAACUUGAAUCCGGGAGAGGGUGGCGGAAUUCCAGGUGUAGGAGUGAAAUCCGUAGAUAUCUGGAGGAACAUCAGUGGCGAAGGCGGCCACCUGGACCGGUAUCGACGCUGAGGUGCGAAAGCGUGGGGAGCAACCAG